AGCAGCCGCGGUAAUUCCAGCUCCAAUAGCGUAUAUUAAAGUUGUUGCAGUUAAAAAGCUCGUAGUUGAAUUUCGGGGUUAGUAGGUUGGUCAUGCCUCUGGUAUGUACUGGUCUCACUGAUUCCUCCUUCCUGACGAACCGUAAUGCCAUUAAUUUGGUGUUGCGGGAAAUUUGGACUGUUACUUUGAAAAAAUUAGAGUGUUUAAAGCAAGCUAACGCUUGAAUACAUUAGCAUGGAAUAAUGAAAUAGGACGUUCGAUCCUAUUUUGUUGGUUUCUAGGAUUGACGUAAUGAUUAAUAGGGAUAGUUGGGGGCAUUAGUAUUCAAUUGUCAGAGGUGAAAUUCUUGGAUUUAUUGAAGACUAACUACUGCGAAAGCAUUUGCCAAGGAUGUUUUCAUUAAUCAAGAACGAAAGUUAGGGGAUCGAAGACGAUCAGAUACCGUCGUAGUCUUAACCAUAAACUAUGCCGACUAGGGAUCGGAUGAUGUUAAUUUUUUAAUGACUCAUUCGGCGCCUUACG
RNAcentral lists this ribosomal RNA (522 nucleotides) under uncultured Glomeraceae. RNAcentral describes it as "SSU rRNA". It matches the Rfam family "Eukaryotic small subunit ribosomal RNA", at positions 569 to 1092 of the family's 1831-position model. The record is from RNAcentral. Lineage: Eukaryota; Fungi; Glomeromycota; Glomeromycetes; Glomerales; Glomeraceae.